This 497-nucleotide ribosomal RNA is filed under the name uncultured bacterium. Its description in RNAcentral is "partial 16S ribosomal RNA". It matches the Rfam family "Bacterial small subunit ribosomal RNA", at positions 28 to 507 of the family's 1533-position model. The record is from RNAcentral.
GAUGAACGCUGGCGGCGUGCCUAAUACAUGCAAGUCGAGCGAACAGACGAGAAGCUUGCUUCUCUGAUGUUAGCGGCGGACGGGUGAGUAACACGUGGAUAACCUACCUAUAAGACUGGGAUAACUUCGGGAAACCGGAGCUAAUACCGGAUAAUAUUUUGAACCGCAUGGUUCAAUAGUGAAAGACGGUCUUGCUGUCACUUAUAGAUGGAUCCGCGCUGCAUUAGCUAGUUGGUAAGGUAACGGCUUACCAAGGCAACGAUGCGUAGCCGACCUGAGAGGGUGAUCGGCCACACUGGAACUGAGACACGGUCCAGACUCCUACGGGAGGCAGCAGUAGGGAAUCUUCCGCAAUGGGCGAAAGCCUGACGGAGCAACGCCGCGUGAGUGAUGAAGGUCUUCGGAUCGUAAAACUCUGUUAUUAGGGAAGAACAAAUGUGUAAGUAACUGUGCACGUCUUGACGGUACCUAAUCAGAAAGCCACGGCUAACUACGUG